CACGGGGGGGCGAGGGGGCUGCGGGCACCGGGUUGGGGCCGCGGCAAAGGCUGCUGGGGCCGAGCGAGCGAACGGGCGAGCCCGGAUGAGGAAGUGAUGCGGGCGGCGCGGCCGGGCGGGCAGGAGCGGGGCCGGCUGCCGUUGAGGGCAUCGCGGAGCGUCGUUUGGGCUGAAGAGGAUCCCCACGACGUACCAGUGGUGUGCAAACAGACCUCGUACGGCAUAUCCGACAUACAGCGUGAGGUGCUUCUGUGAGAGAAGCUAACAAGGCAUGGGUAAACUGUGAAGAGCUCAGGACAACCAAUCUUCAGCUGCCCUGAUGCUUUCAUCUGGGGUGGAAUCUCUCCUUAGUUCUUCGGGAUCUGCUGGAAUAGAGGAGGUGUACCCUGGACUGCCCACAAGCAUCUCCACGGAACUUAUGGCUGUGUCGGAGCCUAAGGUUGGGUUAAGUGCAAAGCCUGGUGUGUCAGUGCCUGUGCUGGCGCACAGCAGUGGUCUGUCAGUGGAGCAUUGCACAACACCGGGAGUAGAGAACUGCCAGGGUUUGGGUGAUGUGCUCCAGGCGAUUUCUCAUGGGCCAGCAGAAUCCCUUGAUGAAGAAUUGGUGAAGUCUGGAGACCUUGAAGAGGAUGAAAAAAGCAAAAAAAGGAACUUGAGGAGACUAGACUGUUCUAGUAAGGGUUACCAGAAAGGUGGCCAACAGGCACAGGAUGCUGAGGAGUAUCAUCCUGGAUGCUGCACUCCAGCUCCGGGGGGAAGCUUGGCAAAACAAGAGGACCCUCUCUUAAACCAGCAUGAAUUUAAGUCUUUGGGAACCUGUUGCACCGAAGUAGUGGGAUCUCUGAAGAACACAGGUGUGUAUUUUAGUAACCUGCUGUCCCAGGUUACUUUUUGUUGAUUUGGAAUUGAUGAGUGACUGUGGGAUAGCUCAUUUAUUUUGCUUCACAGUAGAAACUGUUACCCUGCAUAGCUAGAACAAUAUGAAAACUUAGUCCUCUGCCUUCUGCUGACAGCAUGUGUACUUUUCCUGAAGCCCUUUUACGUACAAGAUGUG
RNAcentral lists this long non-coding RNA (1054 nucleotides) under Amazona collaria (yellow-billed parrot). RNAcentral's name for it is "lncRNA (ENSACOG00000015752.1)". Lineage: Eukaryota; Metazoa; Chordata; Aves; Psittaciformes; Psittacidae. The record is from RNAcentral.